CCUACGGGGAGCAGCAGUGGGGGAUAUUGCACAAUGGGGGAAACCCUGAUGCAGCGACGCCGCGUGGGGGAAGACGGUCCUCUGGAUUGUAAACCACUGUCCCCAGGGACGAAGAUGACGGCACCGGGGGAGGAAGCUCCGGCUAACUACGUGCCAGCAGCCGCGGUAAGACGUAGGGAGCGAGCGUUGUCCGGAAUUACGGGGUGUAAAGGGAGCGGAGGCGGGACUGCAAGUUGGGUGUCCAAUCUACCGGCUCAACCGGUAGCCGCACUCAAAACUGCAGUUCUUGAGUGAAGUAGAGGCCGUCGUAAUUCCUUGUUUAGCGGUGAACUGCGUAGAUAUUAGG
This 346-nucleotide ribosomal RNA is filed under the name uncultured bacterium. Its description in RNAcentral is "partial 16S ribosomal RNA". It matches the Rfam family "Bacterial small subunit ribosomal RNA", at positions 338 to 701 of the family's 1533-position model. The record is from RNAcentral.